CACAGCCACCCUGCCGUGCCACGUGAUAUGCGGGUGUGACCAGCUAGUCAGGUCCAACAGAAUUUUCUUUAGGAGGGGUGUAAAAUUGCAAUCAUACAUAUCCUUCGGUUCCGUGGUUACCCAGACGCCUAAAUACUUCAUCUUGCCAUAGCACCAGCGGAACGCGAAUUGCGACUCCAGGGAGUGGAAGUCCUCCGCGGGGAGCGAGACGUUCAACGUCUCACAUUUUGAAAUAUUAAGUUUGAAGCCGGAUAUCCGUCCAAAUUUACUGAAUUCCGAGAGGAGGCAAGGCAAUGUGACUCGAGGGUUGUGGACGAAAAAGAGGAGAUCGUCUGCAUAAGCAGCCACCUUGUGUUGCACAUCCUGCCAUGUGUAUCCCAUGAUGUCCGGGUUUUGCCUAAUCGCUUGUAGGAGGGGUUCCAGUUGGAGCGCGAACAGCAGUGGCGAGAGCGGGCAUCCUUGCCUGGUGCCGUUGCGAAUCGUGAAGUCGGCGGUUGUGGCACCGUUAAUCCGCACUGUCGCUCUGGGAUCUGUGUAUAGGGCAGAAAUCCAUGAUAGAAGCCUUUCUCCGCAACCUUGCCAUUUCAGCGUCUCCAUCAUAUACGUCCAGUUGACUCGAUCAAAUGCCUUUUCCGCAUCUGUCGACAAAAGCAUUAAUCGGAUCCCACGUUUCUUAGCAUGGUGUUGGAUAGCGAAUAGCCUCAGUGUGCUAUCUCUGGCUUCCCUACCAGGGAUGAAACCCGUCUGGUCUGCGUGUAUCAAGUCGGGCAAAAGACGUUUCAAGCGGGUCGCUAAUACCUUUGUAAACAAUUUGGAGUCAACAUUAAGCAACGAGAUCGGGCGAUAGCUGCCACAUUGUAGAGGGUCCUUCCCUGGUUUAAGAAGUACGGUGAUGGUAGCCGCCACUGAUUCCCUGCCCAAGGUCCCCCCCUCUCCCACUGCGUUGAGAGCAUCAGUAAGCCGUGAUAAAAGCAGUCCCGAGAAGCUUUUAUAAUAUCCUAGGGAGAAGCCAUCCGGGCCAGGUGCUUUACCGGUUUUGGACGUUUUAAGAGCUGCUGCUAUUUCUUCCACACUGAUUGGUGUGUCUAGCAUUGCCGCCGAGUCCCGGUCCAUUACGUUCAAGACCGUUUCAGAUAGAUAUGCACGUAUCGUCGAGCGAUCCCGAUCAGCCUCAGCUCCUGCGGUGGGCGGGUAUAGGUUGUAGAGUUUCUCAUAAAAAAUCCUGAAUUCCUCUGCGAUCUUUUCGGGGAAGGGGGAGAUUUCCCCCGUGGUCAGGCGUAUCUGGCGGAUUUGUCUAUGAGGUACAGGGCCUUUCAAAAGUCUCGCAAGAUAUUUGCCGCCUUUAUUGGCAUGGGCAUAGUAAAAGCCUUUAGUGCGUUGCACCGACCUGAGAUGUCGUUUCAGUAGAAGUGCUUUGAGUUUCCUCCUAUGCUCCAUUAGGUCACCGUAUACCGCAUUCAAUUGGGAUCUUUUGUGGCUACGUUCCAAUGUCGAGAUAGCUUGGUGUAAUUCAGUCAGUUCACGCAUGACCGCUUUCCGUUUCUGUGAGGCAAGGCGUAUUAUGGUGCCGCGGAUCACGCUCUUGUGUGCUUCCCAGAGAGAGAUCGUGGAAAUAUCCGGGGUAUCAUUCUCCAGGAAAUAUUGCUCCAAUUCCCGACGUAUCU
Molecule: non-coding RNA, 1664 nt
Organism: Pelobates cultripes (western spadefoot toad)
Lineage: Eukaryota; Metazoa; Chordata; Amphibia; Anura; Pelobatidae
Source: the annotation of a GenBank genome assembly